RNAcentral lists this ribosomal RNA (742 nucleotides) under Lactiplantibacillus plantarum. Its description in RNAcentral is "bacterial SSU rRNA". It matches the Rfam family "Bacterial small subunit ribosomal RNA", at positions 719 to 1460 of the family's 1533-position model. Lineage: Bacteria; Bacillati; Bacillota; Bacilli; Lactobacillales; Lactobacillaceae. The record is from RNAcentral. RNAcentral also lists the same sequence under 1 other name.
AGGCGGCUGUCUGGUCUGUAACUGACGCUGAGGCUCGAAAGUAUGGGUAGCAAACAGGAUUAGAUACCCUGGUAGUCCAUACCGUAAACGAUGAAUGCUAAGUGUUGGAGGGUUUCCGCCCUUCAGUGCUGCAGCUAACGCAUUAAGCAUUCCGCCUGGGGAGUACGGCCGCAAGGCUGAAACUCAAAGGAAUUGACGGGGGCCCGCACAAGCGGUGGAGCAUGUGGUUUAAUUCGAAGCUACGCGAAGAACCUUACCAGGUCUUGACAUACUAUGCAAAUCUAAGAGAUUAGACGUUCCCUUCGGGGACAUGGAUACAGGUGGUGCAUGGUUGUCGUCAGCUCGUGUCGUGAGAUGUUGGGUUAAGUCCCGCAACGAGCGCAACCCUUAUUAUCAGUUGCCAGCAUUAAGUUGGGCACUCUGGUGAGACUGCCGGUGACAAACCGGAGGAAGGUGGGGAUGACGUCAAAUCAUCAUGCCCCUUAUGACCUGGGCUACACACGUGCUACAAUGGAUGGUACAACGAGUUGCGAACUCGCGAGAGUAAGCUAAUCUCUUAAAGCCAUUCUCAGUUCGGAUUGUAGGCUGCAACUCGCCUACAUGAAGUCGGAAUCGCUAGUAAUCGCGGAUCAGCAUGCCGCGGUGAAUACGUUCCCGGGCCUUGUACACACCGCCCGUCACACCAUGAGAGUUUGUAACACCCAAAGUCGGUGGGGUAACCUUUUAGGAACCAGCCGCCUAA